UACGGAGGGGACUAGCGUUGUUCGGAAUUACUGGGCGUAAAGCGCACGUAGGCGGAUUUGUUAGUCGGGGGUGAAAGCCCGAGGCUUAACCUCGGAACUGCCUUCGAUACUGCGGGUCUCGAGUCCGGGAGAGGUGAGUGGAAUUCCUAGUGUAGAGGUGAAAUUCGUAGAUAUUAGGAAGAACACCAGUGGCGAAGGCGGCUCACUGGCCCGGUACUGACGCUGAGGCGCGAAAGCGUGGGGAGCAAACAGG
Molecule: ribosomal RNA, 253 nt
Filed under: uncultured bacterium
Lineage: Bacteria
Description: partial 16S ribosomal RNA
Rfam family: Bacterial small subunit ribosomal RNA
Source: RNAcentral